AUGUACACAUUUUAGUUAGUUGCAUGUGUUAAAGGUGUUUGAUGUGUUUGUCUGUGUUUUUAGAGCUUGGACUCGACUCAUUUGGCAUCAUCUGUGUUAGAGUCAGGAAAGCAGCUGCUUCAGGAGAUCACCGAAUACUCCCAGCAAUCCUUCAAAAAAACAUUAUCAGAGGAGCAAGAUGGGGUCAGGAUCAUGUUUUUUAGUUAUCCUAGAACUUUUGGGAUAGUGUGUCACAUAAUCAUAAUACUUUUUUAAUUUCCAGAAGAAAACAGCUCUCACCAAUGAGGAGCCCAGUGAACAGCAAAAGGCUUUAGAGGCCAUAAUCAUGAAAAACAUGCGAGCUGAAGCUUUAGGAAAUAAUGAUGUCACUUCCAGUAUAAAAAUAGGUACAGAAUUUUUCAAGACCUCAUAGCAGAAAUCUCACAAUAGCUGCAUUAUAUGAUAUAGUCUAACUUAAAAUGUUGUGAAUCAUUAUUAGUGUUUGUUAAUUGAUAUUUAUAAUGUAAUUUAUUCCCCUCCAGAGUUUAUUUAAAUAUGCGGCUUUCUUUUUAUCAUCAAAGCUAAAGAUAUUCUGCUUAAUAUUUUGCAGGGCCUCAUGGAUGUGACCUGUCGGGACAGGAAGACCCUGUUGUACUUUACAUGGUGAUUGAAAACAGUCCUCUCCAUCAUGCCUUUAAAGAGGGUAAUUAAUACAUAACAUACUUGAGAUAAAAUCUGAUCCACUGAAUGACAUAUAAUAUACUAAUGUACAGUAUGUGUUUGUCUGUGUAUGUUUGAUUAAGUGAUGAAGCUCAAGCAGAAGUCUCGUUUCCUGGAGUUUGUUGUGCACUUGCUUCAGAAAGCUUUGCUAGAAGAUGAGCUGGAUCUGGUUUUGGAGUGGAAGCAAAACAUCUUGAACUGGCUUAGCAGACGCGACGAUGCUCUGUUUGAGCUAAAGAAACACUCAGGUUUGCCAGUGGAGGAAACUAAAGACUUCACAGCCUCUGUGAUAGAGUUUAACGCCAAGGUAAGCUUAUGUUUCUGUUGAUUUACUCAAAUGCCAACUUUGCUUACAUUUAUUGCUUCAUUCUUUUCUUUAGGUUUAUAAAUGUCAUUAAAGUUUAAUUCCACUUUAUAGUAGUGGAUUAACGAAGAUUAUUAAACUUUGGGUGUCAUAAAAUGCAAGUUAAAGGGUUCUGGCAUAUUGAAAGUCAAAUAAAAAUAAAUAGGCACAACAAAAUGAAUAACCGUGGCUCUGAAGGGUACAUUGAGGUCUUAUGAACUGAAAAUAUCUGUCUCUGCAGGAAUUAUUACCUGUUAUUACUUUAAUCUACAGCAAACGGAGUAUGAGUGUGUUUAUGACAGUCUGAAGUAUGAGCUUUUUUUACAUUAUGAAAUAUAUCAAAUGUCGAGAAUCUGAAAUCUUCCCAGAUGUGAUCAUGUAUGCAUUCAUAGGAGCUCAGUGUAUUGUCAGGAUCCAAGGCUUCAACUUAAAAUUUACAAAAAUGCACUGAAGAAAAAAAUCACAUUUCUCAGAUUUCAGUUUUUUUUUGGGUGAACUUUGAAAUUAUGUUGCAGAAACAAAAAGGUGACAAGAGCGGCAGGAAGUUGCUACAGAAAAAACUACUCAACGCAAUGAAGUGCCAAAUUUCUGAAAGGUGAAGAAAAAUCUGCCCGGAUUUGAAAAUACAGAAAUAUUUUAUAUUGUUUUUUAAUGCAUAAUUGU
Danio rerio (zebrafish) is the source of this 1705-nucleotide long non-coding RNA. The record is from Ensembl. NCBI's taxonomy places the organism in Eukaryota, Metazoa, Chordata, Actinopteri, Cypriniformes, Danionidae.